RNAcentral lists this ribosomal RNA (253 nucleotides) under uncultured bacterium. Its description in RNAcentral is "partial 16S ribosomal RNA". It matches the Rfam family "Bacterial small subunit ribosomal RNA", at positions 524 to 776 of the family's 1533-position model. The record is from RNAcentral.
UACGGGGGGGGUAAGCGUUGUUCGGAAUUACUGGGCGUAAAGGGCUCGUAGGCGGCCAACUAAGUCAUACGUGAAAUCCCUCGGCUUAACUGGGGAACUGCGUGUGAUACUGGAUGGCUUGGAUUUGGGAGAGGGAUGCGGAAUUCCAGGUGUAGCGGUGAAAUGCGUAGAUAUCUGGAGGAAUACCGGUGGCGAAGGCGGCAUCCUGGACCGACAUUGACGCUGAACGGCGAAAGCUAGGGGAGCAAACGGG